UAAGGAUUAUGUUUAAAAUUAAAAUAUUUGGCGGCUAUUUAUAUUAAAGGGAUUUGCUUAUUAAUCGAUUUACCUCGUUUGUUAUUAUUUAGGUUUUUUUUGUAUACCGUCAUUUAGAUAAUUUUUAUAUAAUUAAUUAUGAGAAUAAUUUCUAUAAAUUAGAUCAAGGUGCAGAUAUAGUUAAUGUUAAGUUAAUGACAAUAAUAUAUUAUUAUACAGGUUUAU
RNAcentral lists this ribosomal RNA (225 nucleotides) under Niphargus stenopus. RNAcentral's name for it is "partial 12S ribosomal RNA". The record is from RNAcentral. Lineage: Eukaryota; Metazoa; Arthropoda; Malacostraca; Amphipoda; Niphargidae.